CAGCACCGCGGGAACACAGAGGGUGCGAGCGUUAAUCGGAUUUACUGGGCGUAAAGCGUGCGUAGGCGGCUUUUUAAGUCGGAUGUGAAAUCCCUGAGCUUAACUUAGGAAUUGCAUUCGAUACUGGGAAGCUAGAGUAUGGGAGAGGAUGGUAGAAUUCCAGGUGUAGCGGUGAAAUGCGUAGAGAUCUGGAGGAAUACCGAUGGCGAAGGCAGCCAUCUGGCCUAAUACUGACGCUGAGGUACGAAAGCAUGGGGAGCAAACAGGAUUAGAUACCCCCGUAGUCCCUGUCUCUUAUACA
This 301-nucleotide ribosomal RNA is filed under the name uncultured bacterium. Its description in RNAcentral is "partial 16S ribosomal RNA". It matches the Rfam family "Bacterial small subunit ribosomal RNA", at positions 509 to 808 of the family's 1533-position model. The record is from RNAcentral.